GAGAGAGAGAGAGAGAGAGAGAGAGAGAAGGAGUCUCUGGGAUGGAUGAGGCUAAUAUUUCAGGAGAGACAGAGGGAGAAGGAGUCUCUGGGAUGGAUAAGGCUAAUAUUUCAGGAGAGACAGAGGGAGAAGGAGUCUCUGGGAUGGAUAAGGCUAAUAUUUCAGGAGAGACAGAAGGGGUAUCUGGGAUGGAUGAGGCUAAUAUUUCAGGAGAGACGGAGUAGGGGUAUCUGGGAUGGAUGAGGCUAAUAUUUCAGGAGAGACGGAGAAGGGGUAUCUGGGAUGGAUGAGGCUAAUAUUUCAGGAGACAGAAGGAGAAGGGGUCUCUGGGAUGGCCCCUGGAUGAGUCUGAAGGGAAGUGUGUAUCACUUUCUCAUAAACUGUUCUAACUCACCACUCAGCCUGUUCCCACUGGAGGCUACAGCAGUCAGUAAUAAUGCUCUAAGUUGUACACACACUCUGUGAAGAACCGCUUGGUCUCUGGUUCACUCAACCACAAACAUGAUGAUGACUCCCACAGUUAGACAGAGUACGAGUGCAGUUUCGUGUAUGACUAAAAAUGAAUAUUCUCUCCAUGGUGCCCUCCUACACACGCACGGACACGCACGGACACGCACGGACACGCACGGACACGCACACGCACGCACGGACACGCACGGACACGCACGGACACGCACGGACACGCACGGACACGCACGGACACGCACGGACACGCACGGACACGCCACACGCACGGACACGCACGGACACAAAUAUAUACACACACACCGACUAACGUCUUUAAAAACACAGGUCACUGUUUUCAUGAGGUUAUUGAUGUCAUUCUGUAAAAAGUGUCAGUGAACUUCUCCAGGAAACCUGGCAAGUAGUUUUCCUGGUGUGAUGUCACCACCUUGGUCUGUGUUCACGGUUCCCAUUAGUUUUCCUGGUGUGAUGUCACCACCUUGGUCUGUGUUCACGGUUCCCAUUCGUUUUCCUGGUGUGAUGUCACCACCUUGGUCUGUGUUCACGGUUCCCAUUAGUUUUCCUGGUGUGAUGUCGCCACCUAGUGGUCUUGUGUAUUAUUAGCUUCUAACCAGUACAACAAGAGGAGGAUGCAGUUAGGCAUUUAUUGUCAUGAAUCUUGCCCUGGAGGCAGCUUGCAGAGUGGUCACUAGCUGGCACAGCCAUAAAGUCAGAAAAUAUACAUUUGAACCUAACCUUAAGCACACUGCUAACCCUAAUGACUAAUCCCAAACUUAAAUGAAGACCAAAAAGCAAAUGUUUGUUUUCAUGAAUUUUUACAAUACAGCCUAUUUUGACUUUGCAGCUGGCCCAUGUAAUGAAAAUCACACAGUUCUACCUCCAGGGCAAGAUUAAUGACAAUAAACGUCAACCUGCGAGAAGGAUGGGCCUCCUCCCGUAUGAGGGAGAUCGCGUCCUCUCUCUCCUCGUCUCCUUCUCAAAAACACAUUGGAAAAAAGCUAGAGGUCCUUCCCCUCUGAUCUUCUCCUCCGGUGGGUUUUGAGACGAGGAGAUAUUAAGUUUCUCCAUGACUCUUGUUUCUCUCAAGGUUUCUUCCUUCGAAGGAGAUGUUGACUUGCCACUCUACUGCUGCUUGCAUAGGGAUCUAGAACGGCUUACGGUAAAAGCACUUUGUGACUGAUGAUAUAGAAAGGGAUUUAUGGAUAGAAUUUGAUUUGUUUAGCAGCAGGUAAGGAUGAGACGUAAAAAACAUGUAAAAUCCACAUAGAUCACAAUGAUACACCAUGACAACAACACAAUGAUACACCAUGACAACAACACAAUGAUACACCAUGACAACAACACAAUGAUACACCAUGACAACAACACAAUGAUACACCAUGACAACAACACAA
Long non-coding RNA from Oncorhynchus tshawytscha (Chinook salmon), 1859 nucleotides. The record is from Ensembl. NCBI's taxonomy places the organism in Eukaryota, Metazoa, Chordata, Actinopteri, Salmoniformes, Salmonidae.